GUUCCCGUCGGACUGGCUGCAGCGGCUGCCGCCAGCUGCCGGGUCAAGGGCGAUGGGCAGAGCCAUCCCAGCACUCCCGGGCUUAAAAACGCCAGGAAAGGGCCUGAAUUUGACUGAUUUACCCCCACACCCCCUAAGAACCUGUAAAUGUGUGUGAGGGUGCACUCCUGGUGAACGCAGCCUCCAAAGCAGCAAGCAGGCGUAGGUGCAUCUGGAGCAUGCCCGGGUGGGAGAUCUGGUGCUGUCAAAUGCAUCUUCUUCGGAUGGAAGGACGAGUUGCUGAGCUGACACAGCGCUAAGCUGGGUCACUGACCUCCAUCUACCUCCAUCUACUCCUUUUUCCCUUUUCCUGAUCCCCCUCUUUGGCUUUGCGCCAAAACGCGGCAGCGACUAAACACAAGCUGCACUUGGUCCUGUUCUCCAUGCGGUGGCACCAGAAGAACAGCCCAGAGAAAAGCUGGGGUCGAAUCCGGCAACGGCCAAGUUGCAGAGGGGGAGAGAAGCCUGUGAGCACAGAGCAGCCCAGCCGAGCCCAGCCCAGCUGAGCCCAGCCCAGCCCCAGGGUGGCAUCUUCACAAACCCAGAGCUGAACUUCUCCCCUCCCAAACGUUCUUGUUCGCUUGCUCUGCUGCCCAAAGUUUCUGAAACUCCCUCACUGUGCUGACCACAGAGAUUAAUUGGGAAAUGAAAGUAACUGGAAGAGAGGGGCACAGACCAGAACAGCCCAGGGAGCUGAGCCCGGGUGCAGGUAAGACACAGGUACCUGCCCCUUCCCUGCUGGGUUGUGCAAUGGAGAAGCACCGGCUGCCUUAAAAAGGUGAGGGUUUUGCUCUUCUUGGCCUGUUUUCCUCCUCCACUACCACCUUUUAAUAAUUCCUGGGUGACUGAUGUUGACCUCCAGGUCAGAAGUCUCCAGUUAACAGCCAGGAAAUGCCCUUCCCAUUGGUCAUUAUUGCCUAAUUAACAAUUUGAAAUAUGCCACAUUCGAUGCCAAUGACACGAGAUGGCCAUUUGGAGGGGUGGGGGCUGCAGAGCACUUGGCAACAUCUGCAUGUGAAAGCCCCGCACUGGGAUGCAUUGGGUGCUGCUCUGUGCCUCUGGGCUCCAGGCUCAGGACUGGUGCCUCCAGUCUCACUUACACCCAGAAUAAAGUUCUUGGGUUUUUUUCACAAAUACAAUGGCCAGAAAUGGCUGGUUUUAACGACAGGUAUUUCCAAGCAAUGCUACAGUGUCAGAAAGAGCUUAUAAAAGACCCAUUCCUUCCCUGUUACCUGUUCUGCCCCCAGACAAUGAGUCUUUGGCUUGAAUCAACACCCGGCUGGGCUGAGCCGAGGAGUCUUCUUGACCUGGCAGAGGCUGCGAGAGAGCAGGAAUGAUUCCUAAUCCUUCACCCAUCCUCAUCUGCCAGUCAGGACAGCCUAUCACCAAUGAUUUGGCCUAUUUAUAUAAAAAUAUAUACAUAUAUUUCAGGAGGAACACUCCCUACCUAAGGGGUUUUACAGUGUGGCACAUUGAAAGGUUUGUUAAAAUAGCUGAGUGUCAGCCUUCCUCUUUACCUGUCAAGGAAGGCAAAGGAAGAGGGAAGUAUAUUUUAAUAACCUGGGUGGUCGGCAUGGAAAAGCAAUGCAGAAGCUGCUGUGGAGUAAGAGGUCUUGAAGGCUGGAGCUGGGUGUCUGGUCUCCAGGGGGGUCACUAAUCUGCCAGAAAAUUAAAAAAAAACAAAACCGAAGCAAAGCAUGGAAGGGUCCAACAAGUGCCAGGAGCUGGAUCCUGCUGCUAGGAGCCCAAAAGAAGGAGAAAGAUGAGAGGAAAGAGAGAGGACUCCCCCCACCUCCCCAGUUUUUGGCACUGGUGAGCGGUGUUGACGCAACUGCCCACAGAAGAGCAGCCAUCGUCAUUCAUUACAAGUGAGUCCGGACACAUCCGUGGUGUCCAGCGUCACACAUCUGAUGGGCAUCAGGAGGGCAAGGACACAUUUAUCUCUGCUGAGCUGGAGCACAUGGCGCAGCACGUACACCAGCACGAUGCUUUGUCCCGCUCUAGUAGGCACUUCACCACCGCAGCCCAUUCACCCCUUAAAAAUAUAAUAAAAUCAAACCAACAGAGGGAAUUUUCUUCGAUGUGGACAUGGAAUUGCUCAUCUGGCACCCAGAUGCCUUCAGACUGGAUUUGGCAUCUUCUGGCAGCACAGCCUUACACAGAGAAUUAAUAUGGAGCAGCUAAGUUCAUACCAUUGUAAUUUAAUGUUUACUUCCAUCUGUGGGCACUGAGGGUGUUGUGGUGACGUAUCAAUAGCUGUAUAAACAUAUCUCAUGUGCCUAUAUAAUGAAUACAGCUUAUACAGCUGCUCCUGGUGAAGCUGUUGUGGAGGGACCAGGGCAGGUGAGCCUGGUCUGAGAGCUCAGUAACUGGCCUGUUCCCAUCUGGGCAGGAUCAUGAGAUGUGUAAAUGUUCUCACAUGCUACCCCACCAAAUUAAAAGCAUCAAGCUGAAUGUGGAUACACUAAAAAGGUAUUUACUGCUAUAAAUGAUGCAGAAAAUUAAUAUUGAUGAAAUACAGCUGAACACUUUUUUAAUGCACUUUGCCUUUUUAAUUUGUUUUUAAGGAUCCUUGGGCUGCAGUCAAUGUCAUUGUUUCCUUUGGAAAGCCAGAGUCCUUCUAUUUGUGUUAAUUAUGCACCUGCAAGAACAGAAAAAAUAAUAGAAAUAGAAGUAUCUUGCCACUGUAUUGUGGCUAAGGAAAGGAAGAACAAUACAAAGUAACUGAAGUUUUUCUGUUGAGAAAGUGCUUUUAAAGGGUCACAGAGCUGAUCAGCAAGGAGCAUAAUUUGGGCAUCCUGACUCCCCAAUUCCUGCUCCAUGUGUCACGGUGAUACCUAAACCCUGAAUAAGUCCCUGGGUAUUCUUGGGUCGUGUUUGCUUUUUCUCAGACUAGUUUCCCAGCUAAUGCUUUCAGGAACAGGUUUGAAAUUAAGAUUUACAUAUUUAUGUUCCUAUUAACAUAGAUACAUUAAAAAAACUUAAUGAGCUUAUGUAACAAAUUGCUACAUGACAUUGUUAAUGAUUCAAGAGAGGAUCCGUACUUAGGUAGAUAAGAAUGGCAUUUGCAAUGGCACCAGCUCUGCUAAAAUUACAAGGAGCAUCAAUUGCAUGGUUCAAGUAGACAGUCCUGAGACUGGAGCCUGAAGGUCUCCAGCAUGGUCCAGUCUCACCGGCGAGAUACGCGUGUGGGGAAUCAUGUGCCAUAACCCACUUGCAGAGCGUAAACAGGGUGACACAGCCAGCAGCCUCCACACGGGGACCUUCCAUGUCCCAGGGACAUGACGAGGUUGUGAUUGCAGCUCGGGUCUCAGCAGAGCCGGCAUCACCUCUCUGCCAUCACAGCUCUCCUGUGUUGAGCAAGACCCUUCGGGCACGUCUGCAGAGAGUGGAGCUUUCUCUGUGCCUGCUCUGAGCUGGCUCUGUGUCCCAGCAGGUUUGGGAUGUCACCAGCUGCUGCUCUGCUGGAACCAGUGUCCCUGCUCUGGUGGAGAACUUGUGCCUCAAGUGCUGUGAGCUCUUCUGGAGCUCCCAGAUCACAUCUGGCCAGCUUGGGGCUGGGUGAGCUGGAAGUGUUUGCAGCUUGUAGAUAUGCUUUACAUUUCCGUGUUUCCUGCUUCCCCACUAUAAACAAGGAAAUAUCGAGUUCCCAGACUUCUGGGAGAGGAAGCCAGCGUGCUGCAUGCAUGUAGGUGGUGUGGAGCUGGCGAAGACCCGCAGAGCAUGGCAGACAUUCAGCCAGUCUGAGACUGCUGGGGAUGUAAAUUCGCCCCUGCUUGUGUGCAGUCACGGUCCUCACUACUGACUGGGCUUGUGGGUACAACACACUCUCCAGGGAAGCUGAGGCACAGCUUUUAGGAAAGGAGAGCUCGGGAUUUAAAAAAGCAAGUACUCACAGCCUUUCCCUCCACAUUUGCGCUAACAAUUUUAUAUGGACAAGUCAGUGGACUGUGCUCUUUUACCCAAUCUCCUGGGAAGCCACCACUGCCCAACAGCCAUGGAUGGCAGCAGAAGCAUGAACUCAUCUCUCCCUCCUGCUCAUUGCAAAGCUCCCUGUGACUAUUUACAUGCCACUAUGACUAAGCAGGGCCAGGUUUGGGCUCCAGAAGGCACUGCAGGCUUGGUGAGCUUUGGCUGUCUUUGCUGGAACAAGCCAGAGGAGUAAGUGGCAACUGGUGUCCUGGGCAUGGACAAGGAGCCUGGACAUUCCCAGGGCACUGGGGGCUCUGGAGGACCCUGACCACAUGGCCAUAUUUCGCUGGCUGCUGCGGUGGCUUCAUAUGCCAGCUGGAAGAGAGAACAACACUGUGACUUGGAAACCUGGGAACAAACUUGAACUGGUGAAGAAAUUUGUGCUGUUUGUGGUGAUGUUGCUCUGAGCAGCUCCUAACCCCGCUACAACAGAUUUACAGUCUUGCUGAAACGCAGGCAAGGAUUCCUUUGCCAACACUAUGCUGGGAUAAGCUAUGCUGACAGAAGAGCACUUUAGCUGGUGUAUUCCGUGUUUACACAAGAGGAGUGCUUUAUCGGUCUAGCUGUACUGGCAAAUCUCCCCUCGGGCUAGCCAGUCUUCUCUCGGCAGCUUAGCUCUGCAGCUGGAUGGGCAUAGUCCCCAAGGAGAGAUGCAUUCGGCACUUGGUGAGGAGAUGUAGAGACCCUCACCGUGCCUGUGUGGGGCAGUUUGUCGGCUUCCCUCCCAGGGCAAGCGAUGCCCAACAGCCCAGACCUGUGCUGGGGUUCAGGUCAUGCUGGCAGUGCCCCAGCACACACCCUCGGCGUGGACACGGCGCGCUCUGGGAUAACCCGUGAUUUGCAUGGGUGCAGCUUGACCUGGUUUGAGCCUGUGUCUGCCGCUGGAUUUGCAUCUGUUCAGCUGAGCUGGUUUUGUUUCGUUGCUGUGAUUGUUUUCAAUUCUAAUGCAGCCCAGCACAAGGAAGACGUGGCCUCGUUCCUCUCCUCUCAGCACUGGCUUUCAAAGGCAACCAUCCCCCUUGCAUGGAUACCAAACUGCCUUGCCUGUCCUCUAAGUACCUUUUUGUUCCUCAGCAGAUCCUUGCCCCGUGGCUCCCCAAAGCAAAAAUUCCCUGUGCCCCAGAGGGUGUGAGCAGCUCUUCUCACACCCCUUCCUAGACUGCCCUCAGCUGCUCUCUAAGGCCACCCCCUCAGUCUUUCAUCUCAGCUCUCUGGACCACCAAGUCGUCUAACAGUAUAAAUUUGAUCUGGAUCAGGUGUGGACCUACAGCUCCCCUUCUGCAGAGUCAGUCAAAGCGUGUGCUUAGGGUCAGCUCUGGAGUUUUUGUAUAUUUGUUUUGGUGGUAGCAUGAUGGACCACGCCUGCCUGCAGUGGUGUGGGGAAAAGACAUCUUAAGCAGCAUAAAACUGCUGGUAACAGGUUAACAGCGGCAUUUUUUUUUUUUUUUUUUUAAUAUAUUUGUAUUGGUAGAGUGGAUUUAUACUGACUUAGUUCUUUCCAGUGACAGAUUUUUGUACUAGCAGCAGGAGUUUUAAAGCUGGUUAAACUGUAUUGCCUGGUGGGGUUUGGACUGUGGCUCCUAAAUCCCGUGGAACAGGAACUCUUGACUCCUUCCAACUAUGCCAGAGGUUGGAAAUCCAACAAAUACCUUUGUUAUGACACUUAGUUUUUUCUGGACUGGUAUGUUCUGGGCACUUUUCACUACUCCAGUGUGGAGAAAUGUAGCAUAGGCAAAAAAACCCAAUGUUUGAGAUAAGGCGUGUAGCCAUAGCUGCCUGAUCAGAGGUGUUCCUGUGCAAAGCUCUGUUAACAACAGCAGUGAUGGUAAAUCUUGGAGCAGGGGGGAAUGAGAGCAAGUAGAGGGGAAAAGGGAUGACAGAGGAAAGGCUGGAAGCCCAAAAAUGAAGGUGCCUGAAAGACUGUUUGAAUUCCGAUUCAAACCGAAGCACCCUGAAUCGCAUUACCUCUGUUUUGUUAUUGAAUAGCAAAGAGAGCAGGUUUUUAGUACGGGAAAAAUCAUCUGGACACCCCAAAUCUGCAGUGUUCUGCAAUCAUACCCUCAUGCAAUUAGCUGAACAGAGAUAAGAGGUUUCUAAGUAGUGUGAAUUAUUACACCUCAGAGUAUCUCUUCUGUGCUUUUUCAGUAGUGCUGCAUGAGAUUUUGCAAAUAAUUUUGCAUGGAAAAAAACAGAGGUAUUAAAAAGAAAAUCUGACCCUGCGUUUAUUUGUUACAGUAACUGUGCAACAUCAUCCUGGACUCCUGUCUCUGCAAAUAACACCUGCAAAAUGAAGUCCUUGAGAAUGCAGCUUGGAACAGGUUUGGAAGAAUUUGCAGAUAUUUGCUGGCACCUGAUGUUUUAUAAUGCUGACAGCCCUUCACUGGUGCCUUAUUAGUGUGAUUAUAAAUGACAGAGUGCAUUAGAUGUAGAGUUUUGACUGAUGUAAUUUUUGCCAGCAGUUCAAUUACUUCCUCCCCCUCAGUUCUGCUUCAUCGUGCCAUGUAGUUGUGCUGCAGCUCACCAGCAUGUCACCCAUGGAGAAACACCACACAGGAGGAAAUGGGGAAAAUGUGCUGUCACCAAACCCUCUGUAUUUUCCAGUGCAUCACAAUUAAGCAAACACCUGUGGUAAUGUAUUAACGGGGACAUGGAGGGGAAGAGAGUGUCCUUGUGCUCUUCUUUGCGACCAAGUGAUAAGAAAGCCAAAGAGUUUGGGAGUUUUGUAUUUGCCUUUAAUUAUUUUGUCCCUCUAAGCUUUUCCCCAGUACAUGAUACAUUUCAGAUUUUGUCCAACUGAGCUUUGAUGGAAGCCGACGGAGAACAGGAGUUUUCAAGAAAUUGGGCUAUGGGAGUAAAAGAGUAACUGAAUUUGUUUUCUUAUUUAAAUUGCCUACAGGGUAAAUCCUCAGCUUCAACUCACAUGACCCAUUUCCCUGACAUUGAGGUCAGUUUACUGAUUUCAUCACCCUUUUAAGACCACUGAAGAGUGAAAGGUAAGUAGAAAUAAGGCAUCUGACUGUUCCGUAAAUUCCUUUCCUAGCUCACAGGUACUGCCUACAUCUCUUCUGAACUCCUUUAUAUUUGAAAGCAUUGGAUAAUUAUCUUUUAGGAUUCUAAACUUGUGUAUGUGUGUGUGUGUGCAUGUACACGGAGAAGCGGAUAUUUUGAGAAUCACUCUUAACACACCCUUAAAGGUGCACAGGCUGCAGGACCCAAGGUUGGGGGUGCAAAAGACUUUUUGUACCUGAUGCUCAUUUUUGUCAGUGGAGAAACCUUCCCCAAACUAUCACUGUUGUGCCCCAGCAAUUGUUUCCUUAAAACACGGUGCAUCGUUUAAAGUAUCAUAUAGGCUGCAUAUACCCUGAAAAUAGAGGAAAGGAUAAAAAGAAUCUAUUGACAGAUGUUUUUACUGUGCAAGUACAGCACAGUGACAAUUCCCACUUCUUUUUCUAAAAGGGCAAAAGGAAUGUGAGGCUUAUAUGGAAGGAUUUGUGUUAGCUACAGCCUGAAUUGGGCUGAACUAUGUUUUUCCAGCUCAUUUCUGUGUCUGUAUUUGAAAUAUUUGCUUUUCUGCUGUUUUAGCCUAUAGGAUUUUUUUUCUUUUUGUGGUACUGGGUCUUUGUAUUUUUCUUGUUUUAGUGUAGGUAAUUAGCUGUAGGAAUGUAUGAUCCACCAAGGCUUUUUUUUUUAAAGUAUGAAUUAUGUAUAUUGUACCAAGAGCCCGUCUAUGGUUUUGCUUUCAGAAAAGAGCCUGGCUAAAUAUAUUCAUCCUGAUUUCA
This is a long non-coding RNA of Columba livia (rock pigeon), 7790 nucleotides long. RefSeq lists it as uncharacterized. The record is from RefSeq and is a predicted model, not a curated record. The transcript has 2 exons. Lineage: Eukaryota; Metazoa; Chordata; Aves; Columbiformes; Columbidae.